UACGUAGGGUGCAAGCGUUAAUCGGAAUUACUGGGCGUAAAGCGUGCGCAGGCGGUGAUGUAAGACAGGUGUGAAAUCCCCGGGCUUAACCUGGGAACUGCAUUUGUGACUGCAUCGCUGGAGUGCGGCAGAGGGGGAUGGAAUUCCGCGUGUAGCAGUGAAAUGCGUAGAUAUCGAGAGGAACACCUGCGGCGAAGGCGGGUUGCUGGGCUGACACUGACGCUGAUGCGCGAAAGCCAGGGGAGCGAACGGG
Molecule: ribosomal RNA, 253 nt
Filed under: uncultured bacterium
Lineage: Bacteria
Description: partial 16S ribosomal RNA
Rfam family: Bacterial small subunit ribosomal RNA
Source: RNAcentral